Long non-coding RNA from Liolophura sinensis, 759 nucleotides. RefSeq lists it as uncharacterized. The record is from RefSeq and is a predicted model, not a curated record. Lineage: Eukaryota; Metazoa; Mollusca; Polyplacophora; Chitonida; Chitonidae. The transcript has 3 exons.
AGUGUUUACUGUGUGGAACGCUGAUUUUCGUCAGAUCUGUAAAUUUUGGCCUCGGAUACAGACGUAGUUAGCUAUCCACGCAAAGCUAGGUUUACUUCAUUAGAUCUCACCAAAAGUUCACUCAUGCCCAGAUACGUGUACGCUCGUGGUUACUAUGGCCCUGCGUGGCAUCGAAUCAAGCACAGUUAUCCGAUCCGCUGGCGAAAACCCAUGCCCGCAGACAAAGAGGCUGCCAAGAAAGAGCGUAGGCGCCGACUGUAUUACCGACGUCAGAGAUACAGGGCAGUCAUGGGAUACGCCGCCUACCGGUGCGGGGGAAGGCGAGUGGCCGGCUCCACACGGUACUACUACAGGCCGGUAGGCUUUCGUUAGUUAGUCCAGAAACUGACUCAUAUCACAAGGAUUUCAACUGAGACGACAAAAAUAAUACAAUGGAAGCAACAAAAACGGCGUUGGGAAAAGCUAAAUUUCAAUGCCAAAAGCCGAUAACAGUCUCCUAUACCUUGAAUACCAUCAUUUCAGUUUUCUCCCUCUAGUACCAUAUGGAGGGAAAUAAUUUCGAUACACGGUCUAACCUUACAAGUGUUUUUCGUGCUACACAAGUUCAAGUUGAUGCAGGACAUUAAGGACGUAAACAGAUCCAGUCAACCGGGAUGUUGUAACACAAGUACUAUCAACACCUACACAGACUCCCAUCAACUUUGAAAACACCAUGGGAUAAGCAUAGUGAGAACAAAAAGAGAGAGAGAGAGAGAGAGA